This 253-nucleotide ribosomal RNA is filed under the name uncultured bacterium. Its description in RNAcentral is "partial 16S ribosomal RNA". It matches the Rfam family "Bacterial small subunit ribosomal RNA", at positions 524 to 776 of the family's 1533-position model. The record is from RNAcentral.
UACGUAGGGACCGAGCGUUGUCCGGAAUCAUUGGGCGUAAAGAGCGUGUAGGCGGCCACUUAAGUCCUGCGUGAAAUCUUGCGGCUCAACCGCAAGCGGUCGUGGGAAACUGGGUGGCUAGAGUGCGGGAGAGGAGAGUGGAAUUCCUGGUGUAGCGGUGGAAUGCGCAGAUAUCAGGAAGAACACCCGUGGCGAAAGCGACUCUCUGGACGGCAACUGACGCUGAGGCACGAAAGCGUGGGGAGCAAACAGG